This is a non-coding RNA of Phrynosoma platyrhinos (Desert horned lizard), 72 nucleotides long. The record is from the annotation of a GenBank genome assembly. NCBI's taxonomy places the organism in Eukaryota, Metazoa, Chordata, Lepidosauria, Squamata, Phrynosomatidae.
GACAGUGUGGCUUAGUAGGUAGAAUGUUUGACUAUGACUCUGGAGACCAGGGUUUGAUUCUCCACUUGGCCA